AUUUCCGUCUCAAACUGGUGGACAUUACUUCUCCAUGAUGUACAAUAUUCCAGUACAUUGUCUUCAUCUUUAGCUCAUAUUUGUAAGGGCUCUGCUGACGACCCAGCUCACCUCCCACCCGGGAACUGGCGGGAAGUUGAAAAUGGUGGUACCCUUUCUGGGACUCGAACACCGGUUCUCCUGGACAUCCCUAACACAAUUAUACCACCAGAGGUGCCUGAAAUUGGCAGUAGUCCAUAGGAGCGCAGCAUCGGAUCACAUCAGGGAUAUAAGACGGGCCCAGCAGCUCUGUAGCCUCAGCUGCAUGAGGCGCCAGCUGAGGUCAUCCAGCGCCAUCCAACCGCAUCAGCAACAGAGUAGGGAGAAGCCAUAGAAGAUAUGUGACGUCCUCCAGCCUGCUUGGGUCUGCAACAGCGACGUGUCCCAACCCGUCAGGACCUGCAGCAUAGCAGCACCCUGGGAUCGUGUCAGCUUGAUGGAGCACGACAGUCAGCUGUUGUUGUCCGCUGAAGACACCCAGCCAGCCUCUGUCUCGUAAGGUGCACUGUCGGUCCUAAUCAGCAUGACGAAGCUCGGUACUGGACCCGAUCAUACGCGCCAUCGCAGAAUAUUCCAGUGAAACUACAUGGACAAAGUGAGGAUGUAGUGGAUAAGGAGAUACCAGUUAGGUCCUGUGCACCACUACUCUUCACUUCAGUAUAUAAUUUAACCACUAGUGGUUCGAAGUGUUUACGUAAUGGUAUAGAGGCAACUCCAGGCAGAGACUAACGUGUUCUGACAGAGAUCGAGAAUGCAGCUAAAAGUAUUAAAGUGCGGUUUACCAAGUUGGAAUGGGGUGAAUGGUGUCGUGCAAAAGCCUCCAUCAAGCAGCAGUUGACCGCCGAGUAUCAUCUGAGCUGUCCACCUCCAGACGUUUACUGCGCUGCUCUGACUCCAUCCUCUACAAUAGUGUACAAUGUGAAAUUGGGUAACACAUCCAUUUAUCUAUAGCAGGGGUUCCCAACAAAAUUUUCUCGAUGACCCCCUCAUCUGUGAAAGCACUGUCAAUAAAUUAACAAUAGCCGAUUGUCGUCUGAAA
Molecule: long non-coding RNA, 1078 nt
Organism: Schistocerca piceifrons (Central American locust)
Lineage: Eukaryota; Metazoa; Arthropoda; Insecta; Orthoptera; Acrididae
Exons: 3
Source: RefSeq, a predicted model, not a curated record